Molecule: ribosomal RNA, 253 nt
Filed under: uncultured bacterium
Lineage: Bacteria
Description: partial 16S ribosomal RNA
Rfam family: Bacterial small subunit ribosomal RNA
Source: RNAcentral
UACAGAGGGUGCAAGCGUUAAUCGGAGUUACUGGGCGUAAAGGGCGCGUAGGCGGUUAGUUAAGAUAGAUGUGAAAGCCCUGGGCUUAACCUAGGAACGGCAUCUGUGACUGGCUAGCUGGAGUAUUGUAGAGGGUAGUGGAAUUUCCGGUGUAGCGGUGAAAUGCGUAGAGAUCGGAAGGAACACCAGUGGCGAAGGCGGCUACCUGGACAAAUACUGACGCUGAGGCGCGAGAGCGUGGGGAGCAAACAGG